GCGGAGCCAAUGGCGGGGCGGGAGGAGCCGCGGGGCGGGGCCAACGUUCCCGAAGCCGAGUUCCCCAAGGGCCAGCGGGGCGUCUUCAGCUCACCGCUCCCUCCUCCUCGGGACUUUCUCAGGACCUUCCCUACACUAGUGUGGGCGUUCAGGACAACCAAGCAAUGUGAAGCUAUGGUUUUCACAGGCCCCUUGAGAUAUAGCACUGAAGAUUGGCAAUUAGAAAACAGAAGUAAAGGCACAACACACUAUGGCCUCCUAGCCUCAGGCAGAGGGGCCAGAGGGUGUGACUUCAGUUUUCAGACACUGGUUUUAUUGGGGAAACGAGGGGAAGAUACUCCUAUUCAUCCUUCCUUGCGGGCACUGCCUCUUGUGGAAGUACAGUCUCCCACGAGGGAUUCUAGAUUCAGGAUGACUGAUAUAGCUCCAUGAGGGUGGAUACUAUCUCUCAUCAUUUCAACCAAGGAAAGAAAUCAGUGGUAGUCUGAAAGUGGCUGAAAGUUUAAAAAUCCUACAGUUUAAACCACCCAGUUAAAGACAAAAUGAUAACCAAUUCUUCAGUUUUGGAGCCAAACAAGAAGGGCUAAAUCUAUGAGCAGCCGGUGAAAGCUAUAUUCCCACCACAUAGCCUGUGUGUAUUCUUGCAUUACAGCCUUUGUCAUGGCAUGUAUCACCUGUUUCCUUAUCAAUCUCCUGGAUUCUCGGCUCCUGGAGGGCAGGGACCAUACUUUAUUGUCAUGUUGUCCCUGUGCCUGACAUAGUAUAGUGCUUGUUAUUGACUAUUUAAUGUUUGUUGAAUAAAGGACAUCUUGUCAUCUUUUUGACACAAGCUUUUAUUCCAAAAUGCUGAACAGACCUUCUUCCCAACUCUUUAAAAUGAAAAAAGGUAAAAGAAAUAGGAAGAAAAGAAAAGACAAUCUGCCUUGAGGUUGACUCUACUCAAGAAUCAUUAACUAUACUUUUACCAAGUAUUAGAUAGAUAAUCUUCAUAACCAAUACUAUUAUUGGGCUGUAAGGCAUCUGUGAUCAGCAUUUCACAUUUAAUCCUUAUAAUAACCUUAUGUGAUAGAUACUAUCAUCACCUCAUUUUACAAAUGAGGAAACUGAGGUACAGAGAGGUUACAUAAUUUGUCCGAGUUUGUCAAGCCAGUCAGAAGCAGAGCUGGAAUUUGAACUGAGUUCUGACUCCAAAGCCUGUGUGUAACUCACAUGAAGAAAAGGGGGUUUAUAAAACAGCUGUUACCAUAAACUUUGAGAGCGCUAAAUAUAGAAACUGUAUUCAUGUUGAACUUCAUCUCUCCACCUGGGAGAGCUCCUCUGAGAAUUACAUUUUCUAUUUUUAUUCCUUUUCUCUAAUCGACUCCCAUGAUGAAGUAUUUAAUUAGCUGAUGGUCAUUGAGACUUUAGGUAUUUUAAACCAUGUUAUAGGCGAAUCAGUGAAAACGGGAAAGUGAGGACAUUUGAAACUUCAUCCCUCCAUAAAAGCAACGACAAUGACAAACACUGGCAAACAUAGAAUCAAUGUUUUAAUCAUUUUGGAAAAUUUAACCAAUGGGUCUACAGCAACCCAGAGAGCAUUUAUUAAGGGAAAAUGUAUUAAUUUCUAUAAGAACAGUGAGAUCUGUUGUUUUAACUAGUUCUAGACCUCUGCUCUGUAUCCUGAUGGUAGCCUUGAAAAAUAGCCCACAUCCCAGGGGAGCAAAAUGGAGCUGGAGUUCCUUAAAGCCUCCUUCCCAAAGAACUGUCAUUGUUUUACCUGUCUAGUGAGUUUCCUGGAAGACCUCAAUUGAGAACCUUGUCCUUGACCUCACUGAGAACUGCACAAUGCUAGAAGCCUCUUCUUCUCAAGGGGCAUUUUAAAAAUAUCAUUAUUUAUUUAUUUAUUCAUGAGAAAGACACACAGACAGAGAGAGAGAGGCAGAGACACAGGCAAAGGGAGACAGAGAGAGGCAGAGACAUAGGCAGAGGGAGAAGUGGGCUCCCUAUGGGGAGCUGGAUGUGAGACUGGAUCCCAGAACUCCAGGAUCAUGCCUAGAGAGGAAGGCAGACACCCAACCGCUUAGUCACCUAGAUAUCCCCAGGAGCAUUUUUAAAAACACUUACAGGUAAAUGUUUUAAACUGGCAGCUGUGUAAGGCAAUGGAUAACAGUUGGGACAAAAAAAACAAACAAAAAAACAACAACAACAACAACAACAAAAACCCUAAUCUAAAAGUUUAAAAGAAAAAGCUGAGAAAUGAGAUAUCCACAGAGAGUUUGAAAUGCUCCAACAUA
Molecule: long non-coding RNA, 2273 nt
Organism: Canis lupus familiaris (dog)
Lineage: Eukaryota; Metazoa; Chordata; Mammalia; Carnivora; Canidae
Exons: 6
Source: RefSeq, a predicted model, not a curated record